ACAAGACAGAAAUUUUGCUUUAAAAAGGAUGAUAAAUCCCAGCAUGGCACAAGUUCUCAUAUGAAAAGUCAUAUUAUAAUAAUAUGGAAAUAAUCCAAAGGAAAAUGAAAUUACCAGUUGCACCGCAAAUAAAAUAAUGUAAAAUAAAAAUAUCAGCUGUUUUGAUGUUCAACCUGUUCUGGUUGAAUGAGGUUUUGGGAGGACUGAUGCCACAAAAUGCAGUUGAGAAAGGAUAAAAACACCAAACCCUACAAAAACAGGACAUAAGGGAGCUGAAGCUCUGCAAAAUGACACUAAUUAGCUGAAGACUGUUAAGGAGAAAGAGGUCCCCAUCGACCAGGGUACAGCAUCCAGAGCACUGCCAAGACCCAGCACACUCCUGGAUUUUAAGGCUCUGGGUCCAAGAGCAGCUGUGUAGUGAUCUGAAGGCUGGUAAGACAAGCACAAGGACUUGUACAAGCAUCAGGGCUCCUUGUCUGACAGAAGAAUGAAGAAAUAUGUCAGUAUUGCUGAGUCCUCUUCUAUGAAUCACUUAAGUUACUGAGAAGAGGAACAGCUGGAGGCCAAAGAUUUCCUCAGACAUCAUUUGGAGUCAUGCACAGUGGGGAAAACCUGACCCCAUUUAAAUCUGGUUGUCUCAUGGGUUGUAUUGCCUGAGCCCAGGAAGAACACUAAGGCAUAUUAUCACUUCACUGAAAACAGGAGAAACAGCUCUGUUUGAAGAAUAUGACAGAUACGGCUGUGGUGCUACCAGAGUUCACUCCAUUAACUUUUUGAGUAAAAUCUUUUAAUUAUUGUAUUCUAUUCAACUGAAAUAUCACGUUCAGCAAUGUCACAACGUAAUAACUACCAAAGCAAUGAAAUGCAUCUGUAAAACUUCAGGGCCUGAUCCUUGACCUCUUUAAUGUGCAGUGACACUUUCUGUCCUUACAGAUGGCUCCAAUACUCUUCAAAAACAUCACAGUGGGUUGGGUUUUUUUUCCCUAAUGAGUUAAAAUUUUCCUCUUACGCUGAGGAAGUCAAAGCUAUAACCCAAAACUUGUUUGGCAAGCCGUAGAAAAAUGAGGUUUGAACUACAGACAGAAUAAAUAGAACAAAACUAAAAUGACAGACAAUCUGUUUCAGUGGAUUUCCCAUGCUAUUUGUUUAUUUUUUUUCAAGUUAUAUGCUCUUGAUGGUUUAAAUAUUCGUGGAAGUGGAGCACUUAUAGCUGAGAUCUAAUUCAAAUUUACUGUGUAAUGCAGAAGGCUUGAGAUCUGUCUCUGUGGUGAUGUUUAACAAUGUAUAACAGGUCAUUUAUGUAGCUAACUUCAGAUCUGGGGUUAAAUGGAAUUGCUCAUUUUGUUUUUUUGUAUUGUCACUUGGAAGAUUCUUCUCCUUGGCUUGGAUUUCCCAAAAAAGUACAGAAGGAUGUCCCAAACUCUUUUUCUUCUCUUAGGCUAUGCCAUCGUUUCAUUCCUAAUCCAAGCAUUAAAUAAGGGCUAAUUUGAACGAGGUGGAAUUUUUAUAUUUUUUUAAUGCACUAUUUUAUUCAUUUUAUAUGUGACCAUGAGCCAACACCUGAGCUGCAGUUUUACCCUGGUGAUGCUGAAACAGAAACUCAAGGUCUGUUAAUGCAACAAACAUAUUUGAAGCAGAACUGAGCUCAAUUUGGCAGAAAAACAAGAUCAAUGAAAUUUCACAGUUUAGGAAGUUUGUGAGACUUUAAUUUUUUUGCUUGCUUGAAUUUUUAGAAAUGCUGACCUCAAAAUCCACUUCUUAAAAGAUGACUCUCUUUCGAUUACAUCCCUUGGCAUUUUGGAAAUGCAGAUGAGUUUGCGUAAAUGAACACAUGCUAAUGUCAUGUGGGAGAAGAGGUUAUUUCCCCUCCCCCCCCUUAUAACCAAUACGGAAUUUCUGAACCAUUAUUUUAUUUUUCCUGAUGCUUUCAUUUUUUUAAUAAUGUAAAUAUAGGUCUCACCUAAAAGAAGGUGAA
This is a long non-coding RNA of Pipra filicauda (Wire-tailed manakin), 1975 nucleotides long. RefSeq lists it as uncharacterized. NCBI's taxonomy places the organism in Eukaryota, Metazoa, Chordata, Aves, Passeriformes, Pipridae. The transcript has 5 exons. The record is from RefSeq and is a predicted model, not a curated record.